RNAcentral lists this ribosomal RNA (454 nucleotides) under Venerupis galactites. Its description in RNAcentral is "partial large subunit ribosomal RNA". It matches the Rfam family "Bacterial large subunit ribosomal RNA", at positions 1818 to 2597 of the family's 2925-position model. Lineage: Eukaryota; Metazoa; Mollusca; Bivalvia; Venerida; Veneridae. The record is from RNAcentral.
GCUCUCUGGUAAAUGGGAUAGGGGGUCGGGCCUGCCCGGUGAAGUUUUAACGGUUGCGAUAAUGUACAAAGGUAGCAAGAUGAGUUGUCCUUUAAUUGGGGACGUGUACGAAUGGUUUGACGUGGAACAACUGUCUCUUAGAAAUAGUGCGAAGUUCUCUUUUGAGUGAAAAGACUUAAGUUUUUGUAAAAGACGAGAAGACCCCGUCGAGUUUGAUUUGGGUGAUAAGUGUUUUUAUCCUUUGAAGUUUUGUUGGGGCAACACAAGAUGAAGACUAUCAUCUUUUGAAAUCACAUCUUUUCAGAAAAAAGUAGAAAAAACUACCGCGGGGAUAACAGCGUAAUCUUUUUUGAGAGAUCUUAUUGAUGAAAGGGUUUGCGACCUCGAUGUUGGAUUAGAGUAACUUUAUGGUGCAGGGGCUGUAAGAGUGGGACUGUUCGUCUUUUAAUGCUCU